Molecule: transfer RNA, 97 nt
Filed under: Caldisphaera lagunensis DSM 15908
Lineage: Archaea; Thermoproteati; Thermoproteota; Thermoprotei; Acidilobales; Acidilobaceae
Rfam family: tRNA
About the family: Transfer RNA (tRNA) molecules are approximately 80 nucleotides in length.
Source: Rfam by way of RNAcentral
GGGCCCGUAGCUCAGCUAGGUUAGAGCGGCGGACCAGUUUAAUACUGGGUCGAUGCUCCAGACCCGUAGGUCGGGGGUUCAAGUCCCCUCGGGCCCA